AUAAAAAACCAAUGCCCUUCGGGGCUACUUGGUGAUUCAUGAUAACUUAACGGAUCGCAUGGCCUUGCGCCGGCGACGGUUCAUUCAAAUUUCUGCCCUAUCAACUUUCGAUGGUAAGGUAUUGGCUUACCAUGGUUUCAACGGGUAACGGGGAAUUAGGGUUCGAUUCCGGAGAGGGAGCCUGAGAAACGGCUACCACAUCCAAGGAAGGCAGCAGGCGCGCAAAUUACCCAAUCCCGACACGGGGAGGUAGUGACAAUAAAUACUGAUACAGGGCUCUUUUGGGUCUUGUAAUUGGAAUGAGUACAAUUUAAACCCCUUAACGAGGAACAAUUGGAGGGCAAGUCUGGUGCCAGCAGCCGCGGUAAUUCCAGCUCCAAUAGCGUAUAUUAAAGUUGUUGCAGUUAAAAAGCUCGUAGUUGAACCUUGGGCCUGGCUGGCCGGUCCGCCUCACCGCGUGUACUGGUUCGGCUGGGCCUUUCCUUCUGGGGAUCCGCAUGCCCUUUACUGGGUGUGU
Molecule: ribosomal RNA, 517 nt
Filed under: uncultured fungus
Lineage: Eukaryota; Fungi
Description: SSU rRNA
Rfam family: Eukaryotic small subunit ribosomal RNA
Source: RNAcentral